UACUCCUACGGGAGGCAGCAGUAAGGAAUAUUGGUCAAUGGACGAAAGUCUGAACCAGCCAUGCCGCGUGAAGGAUGAAGGUCCUCUGGAUUGUAACUUCUUUUAUCUGGGACGAAAAAAGGGAAUUCUUUCUCACUUGACGGUACCAGAGGAAUAAGCACCGGCUAACUCCGUGCCAGCAGCCGCGGUAAUACGGAGGGUGCAAGCGUUAUCCGGAUUCACUGGGUUUAAAGGGAGCGUAGGUGGGUCUGUAAGUCAGUGGUGAAAUCUCCGAGCUUAACUCGGAAACUGCCAUUGAUACUAUAGGUCUUGAAUUAUCUGGAGGUAAGCGGAAUAUGUCAUGUAGCGGUGAAAUGCUUAGAUAUGACAUAGAACACCGAUGCGAAGGCAGCUUACUACGGAUAUAUUGACAUGAGGCUGAAAGCGUGGGGAUCAAACAGGAUUAGAUACCCUGGUAGUCCACGCCCUAAACGAUGGAUACUCGACAUCAGCGAUACACUGUUGGUGUCUGAGCGAAAGCAUUAAGUAUCCCACCUGGGAAGUACGACCGCAAGGUUGAAACUCAAAGGAAUGACGG
RNAcentral lists this ribosomal RNA (577 nucleotides) under uncultured Ferruginibacter sp. RNAcentral's name for it is "bacterial SSU rRNA". It matches the Rfam family "Bacterial small subunit ribosomal RNA", at positions 334 to 916 of the family's 1533-position model. Lineage: Bacteria; Pseudomonadati; Bacteroidota; Chitinophagia; Chitinophagales; Chitinophagaceae. The record is from RNAcentral.